Molecule: unclassified non-coding RNA, 160 nt
Filed under: uncultured fungus
Lineage: Eukaryota; Fungi
Description: sequence contains ITS1
Source: RNAcentral
GACUGCGGAGGAUCAUUAUCGAAACAAAAUGUGCGAGGCGNGCUCCGGCUGUCGCUGACUCNNAAAGUUGUGCACGCCGGANGGUGUCCUCUCGCAUAAUAAUCCAUCUCACCCUUUGUGCACCACCGCGUGGGUACCCUCCGGGAUCCGACCGAUCUUG